UUUCCUUCAGUCUGCCGAUGAUAAUGUAUCAGGGAGAAGAUUCGAUUAUUAAUUUUCACCUAAAUGCGCGCAUUUAAAUCUUGAUAUGUAGAGAAGUGCUGUGGAUCAGAGUUCAUGACAGCAACCAUGGUUCUCCUCUACACAUUUUAUACUCACAACAAUCUUUAGACUGAGCAAGAGUGACUGGUCUAAGGUCACCAAGAAAGCUUCAAGACUGACUGGGUUUUGCAGCAAAUGAACAAAAGGCAGCAAUGAAAACCUACAACACAAUGACUGGCAAGUAUAAAGAAGACACAGUUGUGUAGGACCCCUUUGGUGUUCUUUUUAAAAAGGAACUCCACUACUGCAAUUGAACCCAUCGGAACAUGAAAUGAAACUAUAUUUCAUGAAUCUAUGGAAGCAAACCGCAGCCUGCAUUUCUGCCCAGUAAAAAGCUAUGAAUUAAACUAGGCAGCAAUGGGAAAAGACUGGGCAUUCCAUGAAAACAAAUCUCUUCAGCAGAAUUCAGUAUGUUGGAGAAAUUAUGUUCUCACAGAAAUAAUAAUGGUACUAACUGCACUAUUCUGUAUGUUUAUUUCAAGUGAUUAUUUGAGUUGGUUUUGUUAAAAAAAGACAGUAUGUCUGCUUCCUUUCUAAAGAACAAAAAUCUUCAGGGAAUCUGUUUUGGUGGCUGCUAAAAUCACUGCUUACCAUGCAUUUUAAUAAAGU
Molecule: long non-coding RNA, 708 nt
Organism: Sphaerodactylus townsendi
Lineage: Eukaryota; Metazoa; Chordata; Lepidosauria; Squamata; Sphaerodactylidae
Exons: 3
Source: RefSeq, a predicted model, not a curated record